AGCCCCGAUAACUCGGUGGUUAGAGCGUCGAGUUAGCGACCCGGGGCUCGCGGGUUCGAAUCUUCGCCUCGGAAGUUA
This is a non-coding RNA of Acanthoscelides obtectus, 78 nucleotides long. NCBI's taxonomy places the organism in Eukaryota, Metazoa, Arthropoda, Insecta, Coleoptera, Chrysomelidae. The record is from the annotation of a GenBank genome assembly.